RNAcentral lists this long non-coding RNA (1596 nucleotides) under Homo sapiens (human). RNAcentral describes it as "HSALNT0084040". Lineage: Eukaryota; Metazoa; Chordata; Mammalia; Primates; Hominidae. The record is from RNAcentral.
UAGAGACGGGGUUUCACCGUGGUCUCGAUCUCGUGACCUCUUGAUCCGCCCGCCUCGGCCUCCCAAAGUGCUGGGAUUACAGGCGUGAGCCACCGCGCCCGGCGCAGGGCGUGCCCAGGGCUUCUGAUGCCAGAGCCCAGGAAUGAGCUUUUGCCUUUUGGAUUCAGGGCUUCCCUGUACUCUCACAGAGUCAGAAUGGCCGUAUGUUUACAUGUGAAGCCCUGGGGCUCCCUGGCCCCUUCCUGGGCCGUUCUCCACCUUUUCUCUUCUCACCCUUUGCUGUUCCCUGAGUCAUGCAAUCCAUAGUGAAGAGGCCAGAGGCCCGGAUGGGGAAGUGCCGGGGGCAGCCGUGGCAGCUUCAUCACAGAGCUCCUGGGGACUGAUGCACACAGCUGUGGAAAUGAUAGUAAGGCUCUUUGUUAGAGCUCUUGUGGCUGCCUGGAGAUGAUGCUGCCUUGGCCAUGGCCUGCUGUUAUCCUCGGGGAGCUGGGACGUGGGCACAGGGGCAUGCAUUUCCCCCUCAGCACUAGCUCCAAGGGACAAUGUGCAGCACUUGCUGAGGGCAGAAGAAAAUGGAAAACAAAGACAAACAAACCAAAGAAGGCGGAUGAAGUAGAAGCCAUUCAUUCUUUCCAUGAACAUUGACCCUAUAUCCUGAAGGUGGAUCCAAUGAAAAAAGAGAAGCAGCAAGAGUGGCUUCUGUUUCCCUGGCUGGACUCUGAGUAAUAUAGCAGCAAUAAUUUCCCAAGGGAAAGGAGGAAGACGGGUUGGCUCCAAUGAAGACACUUAUGAUGUGAAGAGUUCCCGUAACAGUUCACCAUCUCUGGGGCAGUUAUACAACAGGGAUCCCUGACUUCUUCAGAACCGAGAGUUCAAAUCAGGACUAUCUGGUGAUGAAUCUAUCCACUAGAAGCUGAUAUGAAGAGUCAGGUCACUAGAAAACAGAAUAUCAUGUGAUUGUGUUUGACUGCACAACUGGUCUCUAUCAAUAUCUAUGCCUGAAGAGGAAGAAUGUUUGCCUAGUAAGGCCAUUAAUAUUGGCAAAUCUUGCAUAGACACAAGUGGUUGUAAUUCUUACUACCAUUAAGACAGUAGAUGGAUGGCUUUGAAUUUGGGCCAAGUGAGCAAAGGCAGCCCCUCCCUCUCUACGUUCCAGCCGUUUUGCUCACUGUGAGGACUCAGCUGUGACACGCCAUUGUCCAUCACUAUAACUGUGGGCAUUCUUUUGAAUCAUCACUAAUCAAAGAUGUUUGUCUCCAGAGCUCUUGGCAUCAUAUAAUGUCUAGCAACCUCAUGUGAACUAUAAAGAACCUUGGCACCAAGGGUGCAGCAUAGCUCCAUAACAAAAAUGAAUAAAUUUUAGGCAUCAACAGUGCAUUCAAGGGGGGGAGGAGCCAAGAUGGCUGAAUAGGAACAGCUCCGGUCUACAGCUCCCAGCGUGAGCGACGCAGAAGACAGGUGAUUUCUGCAUUUCCAUCUGAGGUACCGGGUUCAUCUCACUAGGGAGUGCCAGACAGUGGGCGCAGGACAGUGGGUGUGCUCACCGUGCGCAAGCCGAAGCAGGGCAAGGCAUUGCCUCACCUGGGAAGCGCAAGG